Sardina pilchardus (European sardine) is the source of this 1381-nucleotide long non-coding RNA. RefSeq lists it as uncharacterized. The record is from RefSeq and is a predicted model, not a curated record. The transcript is spliced from 2 exons. NCBI's taxonomy places the organism in Eukaryota, Metazoa, Chordata, Actinopteri, Clupeiformes, Clupeidae.
UGAUACAUUGUGCCCGUUUGUGAGAGCACUCGGCGCAGCAUUUGGAUACUGUUUUUAAACAUGAAUACAGAAAAGGAGAAAGAAGAUAAUAUUUUAGCUGCGAGAGAAGGAGAGACACCCUUAGUAUGGCCGAGCUAUGAACCUAGAAACUCGGAUGGAGCCUUCUGAACAGCGCCCUGCAAACCUUCAAGAUGAACCCCGUUAUUCGCAAGUUCAAGGCAAAAGAGAGUGGUCUCACGCCGAUCUAUAUGGCUCGUCACCUGAAAUGACAGUUUCUGUUCUCGGCAGAGAUCAUGGGUGUCUGGACGAACGUGAACGAGAACAAGGGGUACGUGCAGCUUUGCGUUGUGCCACACGGUGAGCACUUUGUCAGAUCGCCCUCCAGGGCACUGACCUUUGACCUCCAGCACGUGUUUAUAUCUAGUGAUUGAUCGGAUAAAUAGUGAUGAGUCACUCCUCUGAGUGUGUUUACGUUACAGAGUCACGCAAGGAAGGGAAGGAGCGCCAUGGUCUGCUAAAGUCAGAAGAGGGAGAGAAAGUGAGAGCGAGACAGGGAGGGAAAUCUAUUUCUCUCUCUCUCUCUUUGUGUGUCUCUCUCUCGCUCUCUGUGUAUUGUGUGUGUGAGUGUGUAUAUGUGUGUGUGUGUGUGUGUGUGUGUCAUAACAGUGCUAAAAUUAGAAAACCUUGGCGAAUGUCCUGUACCUGCAGGUUGAAUCACUGCUGCUGUAUUGUCUCUGCAGAAAAGGCUGGAGACGCAGAGCUGCAAUAAAAACGAUAACAGUUCAUUUCCAAAACUGCACAAGUGAAACUGUAGAGCACAAACAAUGACAUAAUCUGAGUUUCAUCAGAGAUUAAAUCUAACAAUGCAAAUGUCACAUAUUCUGUACAGUUUGUUUGAAUCUACUGAACCAAUUUAUUUAUAUUCUCUCUUGAGACUAAUUGUCUACGUUGAUGUAAUUCUAGUAAUUUUGAGCUGAACCAAGUGCAAGGAUAUCUUUAUUUUCAACAGUACAUAUGUUCCUAUUUGUGGUUCUCUGUCACUUUUUUUGAUUUGAUGCAUUAUUUGAAAAUGAAAUGAAAUAAAAGAAACUUCAUAGGACAUGUCCUGUUCUUUAUAUGAACGUAACAUCACUGUAAAAUUCAAAUAUUACUCAUGCACUUAACUAGCACACUCUACUGUGACAGGCUCUUUCGUGUUCCCAAAAUAUUUUUGUAGAGUGUAUUCUGCCGUUGCAACUGAAGCAAGCAAGCCGCCUUCCUUCUCUAUGAUUAAAAAGCAAUAUCCUACCCCAGUCUCCGGCACUUUUUGGAAUUUCACAAUUGUUGUUUUUGUAUUGCCGCCUAAGUUUGCUCAACCCUGUAAAUAAAAUGCAUGCAGUCA